RNAcentral lists this unclassified non-coding RNA (263 nucleotides) under uncultured fungus. RNAcentral's name for it is "sequence contains ITS1, 5.8S rRNA gene". The stretch from base 215 to 263 matches the Rfam family "5.8S ribosomal RNA", at positions 1 to 49 of the family's 154-position model. Lineage: Eukaryota; Fungi. The record is from RNAcentral.
UUUCCGUAGGUGAACCUGCGGAAGGAUCAUUACCGAGUGUAGGGUUCCUAGCGAGCCCAACCUCCCACCCGUGUUUACUGUACCUUAGUUGCUUCGGCGGGCCCGCCAUUCAUGGCCGCCGGGGGCUCUCAGCCCCGGGCCCGCGCCCGCCGGAGACACCACGAACUCUGUCUGAUCUAGUGAAGUCUGAGUUGAUUGUAUCGCAAUCAGUUAAAACUUUCAACAAUGGAUCUCUUGGUUCCGGCAUCGAUGAAGAACGCAGC